UGAAUGCUAGAGAAAUUGCGGGGGAGUC
RNAcentral lists this non-coding RNA (28 nucleotides) under Cricetulus griseus (Chinese hamster). Lineage: Eukaryota; Metazoa; Chordata; Mammalia; Rodentia; Cricetidae. The record is from RNAcentral.